Molecule: long non-coding RNA, 878 nt
Organism: Dalotia coriaria
Lineage: Eukaryota; Metazoa; Arthropoda; Insecta; Coleoptera; Staphylinidae
Exons: 3
Source: RefSeq, a predicted model, not a curated record
AAACACGCCGGAAACAAUAUGCGCCCCGAACCGCGGGCGCGCUUAUUCGAUAAUAAAAAGCGACACGCACGAAACGUCAGAAAGUGAAACUCUCAAGUGGGCAUACACAUACUGCAUGCGAAUGCUCGCCAUUUUAUGAUUGCCAAUGCAUGAAAAACAAGAGAAGCGAAAUAUUUCCACUGAUAUAAAAUUUUAUGGCGCACUUAAGUCAAACUCUUACCACAUCAACUCUGAUGCAAUAUUUAAUUGAAACCAACCGAGUCGCAAUUAGGGAGAAAUGUGAGAAUAGCAACGGCGCAACGCGCUAUCCGAACCAAUGCAGCGUGCAACCGAUAAUUACACCAAGUAAUGGUUUGUUAACGCGAAGCGAACGCAAAAUUAUUACUGGUUUGCAAAGAUUAUUUAAUCCAUGCACGGGUUUGGAGCUCUUUUAGCGGGUUGCCUAAUCGCUGGCAUAUCGACAUGCUGGCGCACAGGAACAAUCGGGAUUAUUCAGCGCAGACUAAAAUGGAGUCAACCCUUCUGUCCCGGAAGCCUUUAAGAAUAGAAAAACUAACAUCCGAGCACGCAGCGUCGAGAAACUAAUUGCACCAUCCGUUCCGACUUUCCCACAUUCCAUUAUCUGGCAAAACACGAGCAUUUCCCACCGACCGAGUUAAGUUCGCUGCCGGCUGGCCAGCCUACAAAAAACUACAAUGUCAUUUUCUAUUGAAAACGGCGCACAGGACAUGGCAGAAGACGGAAGAAUACAAAGAACAAACACGAAAAACGAGUGUGCGUGUUGCGUUGUCCAUUAUUGUGCUUAGCGAGGUCAGCAGGAAGCAGAAAAACAUUCUUGUGCGUUUUGGUGUCAAGCUUUGACUUUUCUCCUUUCUCUG